This 2092-nucleotide long non-coding RNA is filed under the name Mytilus galloprovincialis (Mediterranean mussel). Lineage: Eukaryota; Metazoa; Mollusca; Bivalvia; Mytilida; Mytilidae. The record is from RNAcentral.
AAAUGAUCAGCUAUUCAAACACCGGUUAGUUUUUGGUAUAUCACACAAUAUGUUUAACUUCUUUGCCAAAGAUGAAUGCCAAGAGAAAGUUUUAAAGAGAUUAUUAUGAAUUACCAACGUUUAAAAAAACUGUUUGAUAUUUUCCAAUUUUGAUGUACAUAAUUAGAACUUUUUUUGAUAAAGAAACAUAAAAAAUAAGGUGAUAACAAAAUGUAAAUAUUAUCAUACAUGAUCUCUCAGACUAUUUAAAACAACACUUUAAGACGAUGAUAUGCAAAUCAUCAAAUUACAAAACACUGAAAUUUGAAAGUAUGAUACAUAUAUAAAUAACUCAGUAAAGGAUAAGGUAUAAUGAGGUAUAUAACCUUUCGAAUUGAAUUUAGGAGUAUAAAUUAUCAGCUGUUAAAAUAAAUCAUUAGAUAUACGUGUAUCACAAUUCUUCUAAUAUUUCAACGAUUAAUGUUAACAAUAAAUAAAAACGUGAUUAAUAUAAAUUAUAAAAUCUUAAAUGUUCAAUUGGAUAACCUCUAGUGUUGUUAAAGCCUUAGUAAAUUUUACUUUGCCUAAAGCUGUUUUCAAAUAUUUUAAAACUAUUAAAAGGCAGCAACCAAACCUCCUCCUUAAAACAGUAAUAAAUACUCAAAACAUUAUCUGAUAUGUAUCGUUGACAUACUAAUUUGCAACCCUUCAAAUGUGUGCAUUAUUUCAUAAUAAACUUUAUAGAUAUUUGAUAGAAAAUCAACUUAUUAUCAAUGAAGCAAUCGUCUCGAGUGAUUGUUCAGACUGAAAUAGAUGUGUUCAGACCGAAAUAGAUGUUGCUUCAUGAGUUUUUACAGAAACAGAGGAAAGUGGUUUAUUUAUCUUUUUAUCUAAUAUGCAUGCUUUACUGAUUUAGUAUAUAAGGACUUACGACACAAUAUUUUGAUUUGAUUUCAAAUGAAAUUGUAUUGAAAUUUCAAAGUGAAAUUGUAUUGAAAUUUCAAAGUAUACAAUAUCAAUUUCAAAUUAGUAUUUAGAUUUUUUUUUCAAAUUCAGGUUACGAAAAUCAAAAUUUGAAUGAAUACUGUCGUUUUCUAUGACAGCUGCUGUAUCUUUGAACUUUCAAUAUUGGAGAUUUUGUGAGAAAACUUUACGUUCCAUUCCUUUUUUUUGUUGUUUGGUUACUUUUGGGGUGAACAUGCAUAAUUAUUUGAGAUAUAAUGAACAGAAAUGUAUCGGCAGCUUGUAUUGCUAUCAAGUUUGAAUUGACUAUUUCUUCUUAAAAAUAACAUUUAUAAUUUAACAGCGAAAUUCUUUUCAACAAGGCAUCACAACUGUUCUUUUUCAUUUGAGACGCAAAGAAGAACUCUUUUAUUUUAGGGCAUCAUCUUUCAACACAAGCCUAUUUAUAUCGCAAUAGUCGUCGAAAACGUCCGAAUUUUCAAAAUUAGCAAUGCUGCGCAAUCGAGUUUAAUGUAAAAUCUAUCAUCAUUUUAUAAAACUGAAAAAUGAAUAUUUGUAAAUCAAAAUGUCUUGGACAACGUUGCCUGUAUCAUUGGAUUCUCCUUUUCUAUUUGCUUGUGUCGAUUUUGCUUUAGUUACGGUAUUUUUCUAUCAGCAACUCAUUAUCCCGUCCACUAUUGAUUGUUUCGAAAUUACUAAAAGAUAUGUGACACUAAUAUCUCGAAUUAUUUAACUUUCAAAGCAUAUAUAGCUCAAACAGGAGAAACACAACAAAGGGAAUAUGCUCGGGACGAAAAAGUAUUUUGAUUUAAACUGUCAAAUAUCGCAAUAAUUACACAUAUACAGUAUCCCUCCAAUUUCGAAUUCUAUUUUUUUUCUUUGCAAAGCGAUGACAACUUUUACUUAAACAAUAUAGAGAUAACAAGGGAGUGCAACAAAAGUUUUAACUUUGUAAGUGCAUUGCAUGAUUGUAAAAAUACUCAAUUAAUAUCCCUAUAGUAACAGGCUGGGAUGUAUUUUGUCCAUUUUGAGAGGGAUUUUCUCUUUGCAAAGUAUAUGUAAAUGAAUACCAUAUCUAAAUAAUGUGAAUGUAAAUUAAGAAUAAAUAAUUUAUAAAAAUUACUUUAAUAUGUAAAAAUCAUAAAAAUAA